This 650-nucleotide long non-coding RNA is filed under the name Brassica rapa (field mustard). Its description in RNAcentral is "long non-coding RNA (BRAP_LNC003185)". Lineage: Eukaryota; Viridiplantae; Streptophyta; Magnoliopsida; Brassicales; Brassicaceae. The record is from RNAcentral.
UUUUGUUCAUUUUUUAAAAACAAAGUUUAGUUUAAACUAUUUAUUUUUGGUUAAAGAAAAACAAAGUUGUAAGUUUCAGUAACAUAGAAUAUAUUUUCUUAUUUAAUUAUAAUAUUAAAUUUAUUUAUUUAAUUAUAAUAAAAAAUCUUUUGAAUAUAUGUAACUAUAUUAAUAUAUAUAAAAAUAUUUUUUUUAAAUGUGGGAGCCCCACAAAAAUAGGGGGCCCAGUGAGAUGUUUCACAAAACGUCCCUCAAACCCAUUUCUUAAGGAUUAGGUUAGGGGUAUACAAAAUAUCCGUAAAAUUUGAUUCGAUCCGAUCCGAAAAAAUUUGAAUAUCUGCAACUUUACGAAUAAAAGUAAAUAUUAAAUUCAAUAUCCGUAAAAACAGAGAAAUCACAAAUACUUAUAUUUACAAAAACGGAUAUCUGAUCCAAUCCGUUAUACACAUAUAUAUAACUUAUAUAUAUUUUAUAAUUUUUAUAUUUCUAUAUAAGUUUUAUAAUAUUUUUAUUUACUAAAUUAAGUAUUUAGUUAUGAAAUUUUUAUAAGUAUGUCGUUUUCAAAAUUUUGUAAUGAAAUAUUCUUAUUUUCUAUUAAAUUUUCUUUUCUUUUUUUUUAUUUUUUUUUCAAAAGAUAAUUUUCUUUUUUU